AGAGUUUGAUCCUGGCUCAGGACGAACGCUGGCGGCGGGCCUAAUACAUGCAAGUCGAACGCACUCGACCUUCGGGUCACAUGAGUGAGUGGCGAACGGGUGAGUAACACGUGAGAAACCUGCCCUGAAGACCGGAAUAACCCGAGGAAACUCGAGCUAAUGCCGGAUAUCCCCAUCUGGUCGCAUGGCCUAAUGAGGAAAUGUUCAGGCGCUUCAGGAGGGUCUCACGGCCUAUCAGCUAGUUGGUGAGGUAACGGCUCACCAAGGCAUCGACGGGUAGCUGGUCUGAGAGGACGAUCAGCCACACUGGGACUGAGACACGGCCCAGACUCCUACGGGAGGCAGCAGUAGGGAAUCUUGCGCAAUGGGCGAAAGCCUGACGCAGCCACGCCGCGUGAGGGAUGAAGGCUCUCGGGUUGUAAACCUCUUUCAGCAGGGACGAAAAUGACGGUACCUGCAGAAGAAGCCCCGGCCAACUACGUGCCAGCAGCCGCGGUAACACGUAGGGGGCAAGCGUUGUCCGGAUUUAUUGGGCGUAAAGGGCUCGUAGGCUGUUCAGUAAGUCAGGUGUGAAAACUCGAGGCUCAACCUCGAGAUGCCACUUGAUACUGCUGUGACUAGAGUUCGGUAGAGGAGUGUGGAAUUCCUAGUGUAGCGGUGAAAUGCGCAGAUAUUAGGAGGAACACCAACAGCGAAGGCAGCACUCUGGGCCGAUACUGACGCUGAGGAGCGAAAGCGUGGGGAGCGAACAGGAUUAGAUACCCUGGUAGUCCACGCC
This 778-nucleotide ribosomal RNA is filed under the name marine metagenome. Its description in RNAcentral is "bacterial SSU rRNA". It matches the Rfam family "Bacterial small subunit ribosomal RNA", at positions 8 to 801 of the family's 1533-position model. The record is from RNAcentral.